CAAUAGCGUAUAUUAAAGUUGUUGCAGUUAAAAAGCUCGUAGUUGGAUUUGUGGUUUGUGGUGGGUUCCGGGCACUUGUUGUCUGAGUAACUUGCCGCUGCCAUCCUUGGGUGGAACCUGUGUGGCAUUAGGUUGUCGUGCAGGGGAUGCCCAUCGUUUACUGUGAAAAAAUUAGAGUGUUCAAAGCAGGCUUAUGCCGUUGAAUAUAUUAGCAUGGAAUAAUGAGAUAGGACUUUUUCGCUAUUUUGUUGGUUUGCGCGAGAAGGUAAUGAUUAAUAGGGACAGUUGGGGGUAUUCGUAUUCCAUUGUCAGAGGUGAAAUUUCUUGGAUUUUUGGAAGACGAACUACUGCGAAAGCAUUUACCAAGGAUGUUUUCAUUA
Molecule: ribosomal RNA, 380 nt
Filed under: uncultured eukaryote
Lineage: Eukaryota
Description: partial 18S ribosomal RNA
Rfam family: Eukaryotic small subunit ribosomal RNA
Source: RNAcentral